CUCACUCUUCACUGUCUGCAGCCCUGCCUGCACUAAGGACUUCUGCACAGGCUGCGUCAAUUUGAGCAAAGCUAAGUCCCCAUCCUUUGGUUUAAUUUCCGUGAUGGUCUCUCCUCCCUCAGCGGUAGCCCCCUUCUUCAGCACACGAAGCCCACUGAAAAAAGCUGGAAGUUGGAAUGACUUCUCUCCAGAGACUUCUUUUUUAGAAGAGGCACUCUCAGUGAUACCAACACUCGAAUUCUGGUUUGUUACUGCAGGUAGGUCUUGGGACCCUUCUUCUCCCACCUGGUCCUGGCUGGGGCGACGCUCUGUCUGAAGACCACCGUUGCCAGCUUCCAGUUUGCUGCUCAUCUCAGGUGGAAUCCUUUGAGGAUCUUCUGCACAGAGCUCUGCACCAUUCAUUUCCCCAGUGACAGUAUUUUCCCUGAAACCUCCUGGGUUUUCUUUGGACUCCUGAGAUGGCUCAGAUAAAACACCACUAGGGGACUUUGGGCCAUUGGUGCUGCUUCCCUCCUCUGGCUCCUGGCCACCAUCAUCAGAGUCAGAAUCACUGGUGGUGUGCACCAGGGUCCCACGAACACAAAUGACAUCGUCUUUUGUCCCUUUCAAAGUAGACAGUGGAAGCAGCUCUUGAGCAAGGAGAGAUGUCCCUGCUUCUUUUCUCUGACUUCCCUCUGAUUCUGUCUCCACGCUUGCAAUUUUCUCAUCAUUUCCGAGGUCAGGUGAAACCCGAGACCCUGCUUCCUGUGGAUCCAAGCCAUUGCUGGAAUCAUCCUGCUGAGAUGUGGGAUUCACGUCUAAACUAUGGAAUGCUUUCAGCACAGCAUCUUCCUCUUCUGGAUUCACAGAUUCUAAUUUACUCGUAAACCCAAAUAGGGAUUUCAUAGAGAACUUACUCAGGAUCGACUGAGCCACUUCAAGUCCGGCUUCUGGUUUUGCUGGUUCUGACACAUCACUGCCAUCCAGAGAAUUAUCAACGUUCUCCAUGUCUCAGUAAUGCCCUUGGUGGAAGUUCUGACUUGUGUUACCUUCUCCUGCGCUCUCAGUUUAUCCACUCCAUCUGCUCUUAAUUUACAGGACAGAGAGCAACAGGACCCGGGAGUCAGGCUGUCAGCCGCACAGCAAACACACUUGGUCUCUUUCGGGUCACAGUGCCCUCCUUCCGGUUUGUGCGAUGAUGUGUUCCAGGGCAACUGUGAAAAAUCUGUGGAGUCUAUGCCCAGAAGCAGCCGAGGCUGCGCACCUUACUACACACGGACCAGGGAGGCUGCUCUUCUGAAACUUCCGUAUUUAUUCCCGGGGACAAAAGCCUUUUUGUCAUAGGGAAAGUCAGCCUGCCCUGUAAUCCCAACCCAGGACUUCACGAGGAGCUCCGCCCCAGGCCGGCGGUUCUCCUGGUGGCAUUCAACUUCCUCAUUGGUGAGCAAGUGAAGGCUUCUGAAAGUGCUGAGCCGGCAAGCUGAUACUGAGGGCACUUAGCCACUGCCCAGAGCAGCCUAAGGGAAUCAGAAGUAAAUCAGCAGAAAACAACUGAAAUACUUCUGACACAGGCCUUCUUUUUCAUCUGGAUUAUGAUCAGAGAGGCCUGGGGCAUCCAGGCCAAAAAACUAGCAGUACACCCAGAUCAGCAGCCACUUACGAAGCCGCAAUCAAGGAAACAAAUUAAAGAAAGCAAUAGAUCAUCUCAAAAGUGCCUAGAACUCUCAAAGCAGUUAAUUUACUGCCCUUGAAGCUUUUUUUAAGUGCUUUCUUCCGCUUCCCUGCAGGUUUCAUCUGGAAUGCAGAUUUUAGCUCCUAAAGCCCGUGAGGGAUAACCCACACGACUGGUUUCAGAUGACUGCUGUUUUAGCUCUGCCCUAGCUGUCUCAGUGCUCUACAAACAGGUAUUAGGCAAGCACACCCACCACACCCAGUGUCCACCAGCAACAGGGUGGCAGAGUAAACAGCCCAGGCUCCGCAGGAAUGAUUACCCUCUACACUCCCUGUGCCAACCGCAGGCUUCUUUCUGCUCAGCAGCUGUGACUUCCUGGCUGCCUUAGAAAUCCUGGCAGCAGCAGGACACGCCUCUCCCCCUUUGGUGUCCCAGCCAACUAAAUGAAACCUGGCAUGACACAGUGUAACACACAACCUGCCCUAUUAGACAAAACAAUUUGAAGAUCCCCAAGGAUCCACGUUCUCCUAAAGGGCAAAACAUCUGAAAAGUCUCUAUCAGUCAGAUCUCUAUCACAGACCCAAUUUGCCUCAACAAAAACAGGACAGACAAAACAACCUCCAAACAUCAGCCCAGUGUAGUUUCUACCACUCUAUUUAUAUGCUGGGAAACUGGCAACAAAGGAUGGGGGUAAAAAUUGCAGCCCUGUUUCCUAGCUGCAUAGCUGCCUCUUGGGACAGCUCCCUAUCUACCUGAAGGCCUCAAGUGUUUUCCAAAUCCAGUCCCACUAAGCAGGCAUGCAGUGAGUGCCUGGGAUGGACAGGACACUGUUCUGGUUGGAGAGGCAAGUCAAACUGGCUGAACAGUAAUUGCCAUCUCUGUUUGAGCAAAGGUCCAAGAAGAUUGUGGUCAAGUGUUAAACACAAACAGUAAUUCCUUCUGCAAAAUGGAAAUGGUAGCCAUAAGGAAAAUGACAGUCUUGCUUUAUCUGCAGGAGUGGGUGGCUGCAUGUCACACAUUGAUAACUUGAGCCAUGUUCUUCAGUACUAAAAACAAUCUAAGCAUCAAUACUGAGAAAUUCUGAUUGCAAAAAUACAUUUCUAGCAAUGUAUUCAAAAGGAACGCUCACACAAAUAAAAACGCAUCAUUGCAUCCCAUCAACCACUAAGGAGAACCGAGGCACAGAAGAUUAAAAGUCUUGCCAGUCCACAGAAACAGUGGAUGGUGGAAGUAUAAUGUGAAUCCAUGCAGGCAGGCUCCAGCAUCCACACUCUCAACCACUCUUCGAAAGCCCAGAGGCUCCACUUCCUUCCCGAAUAGAAGACCACACACAGCGAGGUGCAAAGGUUUCAGCCCAGUUCAUUGGUGGUCUUUAACUGGGAUGUGAAGUAUACUUUAUCCUCUUAAAUGACACAGAAGACAAACAUCACCAAAAACAAACAAACAAACAAAAAACAACAACCUUAUACUGAGGAUGACUGUUCUUUUCUUUUGCAUAACUUGGGGAAAAAUCUACAAGUUUUCUUAGGAAAAAAUGGAGAGAGAGGAAAGAAAAAUCAAGCAAAAAUUCCAGUAAACCUAGCUGGCCUAUCUAUCUAACACAGAAGAGACACGGAAUCCUCUGGGCUCAAACACAUCAAGGUUUUCCAGUUUGCCCCUACCAUUCUCCUUCAUUUAUGAAGCAUGACUUCUAUUAAGAAGACUUCUUCAUCCAAUGUCAUAAAUGAGCACCAACAAUGAAUGAGGCUGUGAGGACAUAAGAAUGAAGAUAGCCCUGCCUUCCACCUCCAUGAAAUGUGUAGUUUAGUUGGAGAUCUCUAUUUAGAAAGAGGAGACUCUUGUUUACAGACUGUAACCAAGGACUUUAUCCCCCAGGUUCAGUCUAAUAGUAAUAGCUAGACCUGAAACAAUUUUGAAUGAAAGCCAGCAGUGACCAUUUAAAUAUGAACACGAGUAACAGGAGCACGAGUAAGAUUCAAAGAGAUCUUUUAACACGGACUCUUUCAAGCCACUGGUUCUCAUGACCAUAAAAAAUGUUACCACUGCUGGUCACUCAGGGAAUGAGAGUGUUUCAGAUUGUAAUAUUCAAAUAAGCAACCUACAAAUUCAAUCUAAAUUGGUCUUGAAAAAUGAAUCUCUUUAAAGCUUUAACAUUUUCAGGGAGGAUAGUAAUCACUUCUCUUGGACAUUAUCUCAGUAUCUAUGUGCUGAAAUAAGCACCUAUUACACAAAACCAGCAGAAGCGAAGGCUUUCAUCCUUUACAACCUACCUCAACUGAUUCUCUUUUGUCUUGUCUUAACCUCAAGACAAACUCUCUAACUGCCACAUCUGUGCAAAAAUGAUCUUCACCAAAACAAACAAACAAACAAAAAAACAACCUUAUACUGAGGAUGACCAUUCUUUUCUUUUGAGUAACUUGGGGAAAAAUCUACAAAAAAUAAUCUGUGCCAGAUUAAAAAUGAUCCACCUCAGACAACCCACGUUUGAACUGUAUGGGUUCACCUAUACAAUAUGUUUUCAACCAAAAGAAGAUGGAAAAUGCAGUCUUCAUGAGAUGUGAAACCUGCACAUAUGAAGGGUUGACUUUUCAACUUUUCCUGUAAGUGGAUUCCCAGAGCCUCCUGUGGGACUUGGGUAUGAGAGGAUUUGGGUAUAUGGGUGAUCAAUCUUCCAAGUAGAUGGAGGGACAACUCUAAGUCAAAGGAUACAUGAGAAAUAGGUAGCAUUUGACCUACGUGAUAUUCUGUUAUAACUCUGUUAAAAACAAUCAGUACCUAGCUACUUAAAAAUGUGAGCAUAGUAUUUGUGGAGAAUUUACUAGCAGUGAAUUCUUCAUUUCUCCCAUCUCACUGUCCUCUCAGCUGUACACAGAUUGAAGGUGGAGCCAAUUGUACCCCAUGGCAAAAAGAACAUCAGUCUAGGCUGGGCACAGUAGCUCACGCCUGUAAUCCCAGCACUUUGGGAAGCCAAGGCAGGUGGAUUACCUGAGGUCAGGAGUUCAAGACUAGCCUGGCCAACAUGGCGAAAUCCUGUCUCUACUAAAAAUAUAAAAAUUAGCCAGGCAUGGUGGUGGGCACCUGUAAUCCCAUCUACUUGGGAGGCUGAGGGAGGAGAAUCACUUGAACCCAUGAGGUGGAGGCUGCAGUGAGCCGAGAUGCACCCCCUGCACUCCAGCCUGGGCAACAGAACAAGACUCCAUCUCAAAAAAAAAAAAAAACAAAAACAGAACAUCAGUCUAGUAAGUGUAUACCUAGUGAGAUAAGAACAAUUGCAAUAAAAGGCACAUUAUCUCCUAUAGGCAGUAGAGCCUAGCUCCUUGACUUUCCUAAUAUUAGGAGAUCAGCAAUAAAAAUUUUUAAAUAUCGUUUUGCGAAAACUGGACACUGAAAGAAACUUCUCUAAGGGCCCCCUUACUCUUUGUAGCACUUCUCGCUAUUACUCAGUUUGGAUAAUUCACCCCCACAUUCUCAUCAGACUUCAGAAAGGCAACGUGAAAGUAAAGCAAACAGGAUCGCAUCUCACUGUUAGGCUACUUGUCAUGAUUCUCCUUGUCCAACUUAUUUCAAGUUCUGGGCCUGAUUUUAAUGACAAAUUGCUUCUAGCUUCCCAAAGUAGUUCAAAUAGCUUCAUGCGAAAACCGUUUGAAACAAAAAGUAGAAAGUGUAGUUAAACUUAGUAAGGGUAAAUAAGAGUGAGGAAACUAUUUCUGCAGGUGAAAAAAAGUUAAGAGCAAUGUACUGGGAAAAAUAAGUAAGUUCUGAAUAAAGAUAUGGGUAGGUUAAUGGGUGAAAUCCUGGUUUCUUGGUUCAGGAAGCGUGUUUUAAUUCAACAAACGGCAUCUUGAACAAGAGGGGAGAGCUGAGGAAAUUAUAACAUCAUAAGGAGUCAAAAAAAUGUCUGUAAAAUGAGGGGUCAUAUAAAAGGAGUACAAGAUUAUGGAAUAAUUUGGGUAGAAUCCAGUUGUUGUAAGGUUGAAUGGGACCUUAGAAAUAGUAGAAAUUUACCUAGCUUGUUUUUUUUUUUUUUUUGAGACAGGGUCUCACUGCGUUACCCAGGCUGAAGUACAGUGGCACAAUCACUGCUCAGGCAGCCUUCACCUCCCCUUGCUCAAAUGAUUCUCCCACCUCAGCCUCCUGAGCACCUGGGAUUAUAGUUGCGUGUCACCACGACCGACUAAUUUUUGUAUUUUUUCUAGAGACGGGGUUUCACCAUGUUACCCAGGCUGGUCUCAAACUCCUGGCUUCAAGUAAUCUGCCCACCUCGGCCCCCCAGUGUACUGGGGCUACAGGCAUGAGCCACUGCCUCCGGCCUGGCUUGACCUUUUGUUUUAAAGAUGAAGGCAUUUGAGGUCAAGGGAAGCGGAACAACUGGCACCAGUUCAUACUGCUCAAGUGCAGCACCCAGAUGGGGAAAAAGGCAUCCCAUCUCCUGUUCACCCACAUCACAUCACCCUGCUGCUAUGCUGUGGGAUCUUACCUUCUUCCUGAUCAGCAUCUUCGUUAUACUCAUUUUCCACAUCUUUGAAAUGGAGACAACACCUUGCUUCUACCUAAUUCACAGGAAUAUAAAGCCAAACAAAAGAAAAAGCCAGAGAUACCCUUACACAUCUAGUUUUGUAGCACUUUCCCUGCCUUCAUGCUGUGGCGUUCCUCUGCCAAUGCAACGCUUACAACAGCCUCUCUGGGUCAUCCCAUCAAAAGCCUGCAGCUGUUUUCACUAAUUGGUUAAAAAGAAAACAGGCAGCACCUGCCUCUUGCAAGGACUGUGAUUAAGGGCUUUUUUCUCUGUUGAAAAGUCUUAAGAGUAAAAUAUUUAUAAGACUGGUUCCACUGGGCAGUAUCAAAGCUUCUGUAGAAAUGGAUUGAAUAUAGAUAACAAACUAGAAGAAUCUAAAAGGAAAGGAGAAAGGCUGGGACAUCUUGUGAAGCUUGAACAAAGGAAGACAGCAGUGGGUAUGUAAUCUUGUGAUGACCAAGGAACACGGGCAGUGUGCAUAGUUAAGAACAGGACCUCAGCCGGGUGCAGUGGCUCACGCCUGUAAUCCUAGCACUUUGGGAGGCUGAGGCAGGCGGAUCACUUGAGGCCAAGAGUUCAAGACCAGCCUGGUCAAGAUGGUGGAACUCCGUCUCUACUAAAAAUUCAAAAAAAUUAGCCAGGCGUGGUGGUGGUGUGCGCCUGUAGUCCCAGCUACUCGGGAGGCUGAGGCAGGAGAAUCGCUUGAACCUGGGAGGUGGAGGUUGCAGUGAGCCGAGAUGGCACUACUGCACUCCAGCCUGGGCAACUGAGCAAGAUUCCAUCUCAAAAAAAAAAAAAAAAAAAAAAAAAAAGAACAGACCUUGAGUCCUGGGCUCACACCAUGCUCCACUCCUACAAGAGACUUACCCUGGGGCAAGUUAUAUAUAAGCUCCCUGUGCUGCAGCUCCCUCACCUGGAAACUGGUAAGAACAGUACCUACACUUCAUGAAUUGUUACGCGGCAUACACUAUUAUGUGUUUGGCCCUCAUUAAUAACCUGCAGUAAGUAGGAUAUGUUUUCCCAGGAAAGGAACAGCUUCCUUAGGGACACCAACCAUCAUCUAACAGAUGUUUUUAGCAUUCUCAUUAUAAAACAAGUAUUUACUGAUGAACUAACAGCCCAAGCAGGAAGUUUUCUUCUCCCAACUCCCUCUGAUAUAUGCACUUGGGCAGAAGGACUACAUACAACACACCUCCGCAUGCCCCAGCCGCAACCAUGCCACAAGGAAACUGAGCUCCAAAGAAAAUUCUUCCAAGGGAUCCCUUUGGGUGUUGCAGGGCCAGUGUUUUCUGGAUUGGAUUCUUCCAUCUGUGUCACUUGAGAAGAGAAUAAAGUUUUCUCAAGUGGCCACUGCAUAAGGUGACAAAGUUUGCCCUGUUCUUUAUUUUGUUUCCCAAGCUCCAACAUGAUUUUUAAACCAACUCAGUUAUUUGAGAGAAAAAAAAAAUCCAUGAAUUUGGGGUUUCUUCCAUCCUUUUCUCAUGAGAAAAAGCAUGCUGAAAAUGAGACUAGGUGCCUUAGCACUGACAUUUUCCCUUCUUUGGGGAAGGACUCUUCUGAGACAAUGAGCAAGCCUGGGUCCUCCAUAGCAGAGCACCAGCCAUUUUAUUUAUUCAUUUAUUUUUGGUUUGGGGUCAAUUCAUUAGACUUCAAAAGUGCUGCUUCAUUACAAAUGAAAUAAAAGAUUACAGACAUGAAAAUCAACUUUGAAAUAGUUAUUACAUUACUGGCUAGAAUCCUACUCUCAAAUAUUUCUAAGACUGGGUUGUUCCACCAACCAGUGUCAAAGGUCCUCUAGAAAUGGAUUUAAUAUUGAUGACAAAGUAAAAUAAUGUAAAAGGGGAGAGAAAGGCUGUGACUUCUGAAGCUGGGGGGCAGGGGGAUGAGGGUUGGUGGGUAGCAGUCUUUAAAGUACAGAAUUUCCUGGGAUGUGUUUCAGAAGAGCUUUGAGCUUUCCCAAAGUGAAGGCAUAAUAUUGCUGUUCCAUAUGGCUAAUGACAGCAGAAGGCAUGGAGUCUAUGGUGAAAGCAUUUCAUUGUGACUAAGUUGCUCCUGAUAAAAGAUGAAGACCUGGAAUUUAUUAGACUACUUAUGCCUGUUGCCUAUAUUCCCUUCUUCUCAUGCAGUAAAGCGAGGCACUUCAUGGCUACUGCUAUAACUUUUUCUUUUCCUUAAUUUUUUUAAAGUAAAAGUUAUCUUGAGAAUAUUAGUUCGAACUCCAAAGAUCCAGGUAUCAUUUCAAAAUAUUUUUAAAGGGGACAAAAGAAAAUCUAGGGAAGGUGGGGAUUUACCCAAAAGAAAAUGAAGAUGGAUGGGAGGAGCAUGCAUGCUGUUCCAAGUAGGCACCAUGCUCGGUUCUUUAUGCAAGUUUUCUUGCAGCCUCACCCUCUCCAUAACUCUAUGAGAAAGAUGUCAUUAAUUGCAUUUGACAGAUUAUUACUGUCCAAUGAAACUUUCUGCAAUAAAGCCAGCAUUUGCACUGGA
Homo sapiens (human) is the source of this 8651-nucleotide long non-coding RNA. RefSeq lists it as uncharacterized. The transcript is spliced from 2 exons. The record is from RefSeq and is a predicted model, not a curated record. NCBI's taxonomy places the organism in Eukaryota, Metazoa, Chordata, Mammalia, Primates, Hominidae.